CACAAGUGUGUGGAAGCAGCUUUAUUGCAACAACAAAAAAAUAUACAACCUGGAUUUUUAAGAAGCGCUAGCCAGGAGAGCUGUGUCAACAGACGGGGGACUCGCAAACAAACCUGGCACCAAUCCGCAAACCAGCUGCAGACGCGCCAGGAAGAAGACGACGGGUAUGCCGUACUUGAUCCUCAUCCUCCUGGAUGCUUCUACAAGCUGCUUCUCCAACGGGUUCUGCCAAAUCUCCAGCAACGUCACCUUCAAAGAGCCUCGCCGCUAUUCGGACUCGCCGCGGCGGACACGUUGCCGUGUUUCCACCUGUGGGUAAAGCCGACCGCAACGAAACAAGACAACUUCAGAAUAAAAGUCGGUGGGAUCUGAUAAAGCAAACUUUAACCAAAAGAAUAUCCAACAUUUCUGAGUUGAAGGAAUGAGCUGAGGGCGCACAAUGGAAUACUUGGAAAUCCCAUUUGUGAUAUCUGCAAGAGUAUAUCACCCAGGAGUUGCCAACAAAGCGACUCACCUGCGUUGUCAAUUCCACCAGCGCAAAAGAGAAGCAAAAGAGCGACGACGAUGUGUUCUCUGGCCAUCGUCUCGUAGAUGGGAUUAAACCAAAGGCGAAGUAUUCAUUUAAGUCAUUGGUCUCACUUUAAUUCAACGCAGCGUCGAACAUCGGCUUCCUUCUACAGGACAGGUGCGUCACGGUGGGCGUGGCCAAGGGGCGUCCUCUAUUGUAGGUGAUGCCGUGUUCCAAAUGUGGAUUAUUUAUGGAACUUGUGUGAAACUAUUGCUUUACAUUUUGUUUCAUAUAUAUAAUUUGCAUUCUUUUUUAGAUACUUUAUUGAGUUUAAAACCUCU
Entelurus aequoreus (snake pipefish) is the source of this 849-nucleotide long non-coding RNA. RefSeq lists it as uncharacterized. The record is from RefSeq and is a predicted model, not a curated record. NCBI's taxonomy places the organism in Eukaryota, Metazoa, Chordata, Actinopteri, Syngnathiformes, Syngnathidae. The transcript is spliced from 5 exons.